This 253-nucleotide ribosomal RNA is filed under the name uncultured bacterium. RNAcentral's name for it is "partial 16S ribosomal RNA". It matches the Rfam family "Bacterial small subunit ribosomal RNA", at positions 524 to 776 of the family's 1533-position model. The record is from RNAcentral.
UACGUAGGGAGCAAGCGUUGUCCGGAAUCAUUGGGCGUAAAGCGCGCGUAGGCGGCCCUGUAAGUCCGUUGUGAAAGUCAAAGGCUCAACCUUUGAAAGCCGAUGGAUACUGCGGGGCUAGAGUCCGGAAGAGGCGAGUGGAAUUCCUGGUGUAGCGGUGGAAUGCGCAGAUAUCAGGAGGAACACCAAUAGCGAAGGCAGCUCGCUGGGACGGUACUGACGCUAAGGCGCGAAAGCGUGGGGAGCAAACAGG